ACGGUCCUAUGGAUUGUAAACUGCUUUUAUACGAGAAGAAACACUGCUUCGUGAAGCAGCUUGACGGUAUCGUAAGAAUAAGGAUCGGCUAACUCCGUGCCAGCAGCCGCGGUAAUACGGAGGAUCCAAGCGUUAUCCGGAAUCAUUGGGUUUAAAGGGUCCGUAGGCGGUUUAAUAAGUCAGUGGUGAAAGCCCAUCGCUCAACGGUGGAACGGCCAUUGAUACUGUUAAACUUGAAUUAUUAGGAAGUAACUAGAAUAUGUAGUGUAGCGGUGAAAUGCUUAGAGAUUACAUGGAAUACCAAUUGCGAAGGCAGGUUACUACUAAUGGAUUGACGCUGAUGGACGAAAGCGUGGGUAGCGAACAGGAUUAGAUACCCUGGUAGUCCACGCCGUAAACGAUGGAUACUAGCUGUUGGAAGCAAUUUCAGUGGCUAAGCGAAAGUGAU
Molecule: ribosomal RNA, 448 nt
Filed under: Flavobacterium sp.
Lineage: Bacteria; Pseudomonadati; Bacteroidota; Flavobacteriia; Flavobacteriales; Flavobacteriaceae
Description: bacterial SSU rRNA
Rfam family: Bacterial small subunit ribosomal RNA
Source: RNAcentral